GAUGAAGAACGUAGCGAAAUGCGAUAAGUAGUGUGAAUUGCAGAAUUCAGCGAAUCAUCGAAUCUUUGAACGCACAUUGCGCCCCUUGGUAUCCCGAGGGGCAUGCCUGUUCGAGCGUCAUUUCACCACUCAAGCCUGGCUUGGUGUUGGGCGACGUCCCCUUUAGGGACGCGCCUCGAAACGCUCGGCGGCGCGGCACCGGCUUUAAGCGUAGCAGAAUCUUUCGCUUUGGAAGUCGGGGCCCCGCCUGCCGGAAUACCUACUUGUAAGGUUGACCUCGGAUCAGGCAGGGAUACCCGCUGAACUUAAGCAUAUCAAUAAGCGGAGGA
Molecule: unclassified non-coding RNA, 329 nt
Filed under: soil metagenome
Description: partial contains 5.8S ribosomal RNA, internal transcribed spacer 2, and large subunit ribosomal RNA
Rfam family: 5.8S ribosomal RNA (bases 1-120)
Source: RNAcentral